Molecule: ribosomal RNA, 596 nt
Filed under: Escherichia coli
Lineage: Bacteria; Pseudomonadati; Pseudomonadota; Gammaproteobacteria; Enterobacterales; Enterobacteriaceae
Also listed under: 1 other name
Description: bacterial SSU rRNA
Rfam family: Bacterial small subunit ribosomal RNA
Source: RNAcentral
CAAAGAGGGGGACCUUCGGGCCUCUUGCCAUCGGAUGUGCCCAGAUGGGAUUAGCUAGUAGGUGGGGUAACGGCUCACCUAGGCGACGAUCCCUAGCUGGUCUGAGAGGAUGACCAGCCACACUGGAACUGAGACACGGUCCAGACUCCUACGGGAGGCAGCAGUGGGGAAUAUUGCACAAUGGGCGCAAGCCUGAUGCAGCCAUGCCGCGUGUAUGAAGAAGGCCUUCGGGUUGUAAAGUACUUUCAGCGGGGAGGAAGGGAGUAAAGUUAAUACCUUUGCUCAUUGACGUUACCCGCAGAAGAAGCACCGGCUAACUCCGUGCCAGCAGCCGCGGUAAUACGGAGGGUGCAAGCGUUAAUCGGAAUUACUGGGCGUAAAGCGCACGCAGGCGGUUUGUUAAGUCAGAUGUGAAAUCCCCGGGCUCAACCUGGGAACUGCAUCUGAUACUGGCAAGCUUGAGUCUCGUAGAGGGGGGUAGAAUUCCAGGUGUAGCGGUGAAAUGCGUAGAGAUCUGGAGGAAUACCGGUGGCGAAGGCGGCCCCCUGGACGAAGACUGACGCUCAGGUGCGAAAGCGUGGGGAGCAAACAGGAUU